Molecule: RNA transcript, 2627 nt
Organism: Juglans microcarpa x Juglans regia
Lineage: Eukaryota; Viridiplantae; Streptophyta; Magnoliopsida; Fagales; Juglandaceae
Gene name: protein LNK1
Exons: 10
Source: RefSeq, a predicted model, not a curated record
AAAAUAUUCUUAUCAAUUUUUAAUUUAAUUUUUUUUGCCCAAGCGCUCGUGCGAGAAGACGACUCUGGAAGCUCCGAGAAGUCCCUGAAUCAGAAAGCCAGAUUAGGGAAGUGCUGUUGGUCUUGUUCGCGAUUUUCUCUCAACUGUUACAGGGAACUUUCAUUUUUCCGAACACAGUUUUUGGUGAGAGGAUUUUCUCUUGAAACAUGAUAUCAUAUAAAUCAACUGCAUCUUUCUGGGGUGGUGGAUAGAAGAUCGGGAGGAAUGCCAGACUUGUACAUGUGUGAGCUUGAAGAUAAUGUGUGGGAUGAAUUUGGUGAGAGUGACGAUCAUAUAGUGCCUCAUCAUGGCAAUGAAUGUGAGGAUCAAAUUGCUGUACAGGGUGAUAGCUGUAAGAAGCCACAAGGUGUAGGAAUUGGUGUUACAAGUAAUGCUGCCAAUAAAACUAAAUAUGGUACACGAGGCAAGGAGGAAAGGGGUUCACCAAUAUUGACCAAGAAAGACACGAUGUUGGAAAAGGAUUCAUGGUCUCAAGCACCUGAUGACAUGUUUCCUUCUUCAUGUGAUGGCGACUCGCUUAAUGGAGUAACAAUUGCGGAAUCUGAUGCCACGAGGAUGCCCAACCAUUGUUUAAAAAGUGGGAAGAUAGAUUCUGGUGGCAGUGAGUUUUGUGUGGAUGAUUCUAUCUUGGGUGAGAAGUGUGCUGCAGUUGAGAACAACUUGUACCGUUAUCCACUCAGUAACAUAUCCCAAACAGAUAAUGAUCUCAGUUUUUUGGACAAUGAACCUGAAGGCGAAGAAAGCAAUGAUCUCUUAUCCAGUUGGUGGCCGAAUAUAGAAAAUUUUGAGGAUGUUGACAGGAUGUUUAGAAGUUGUGAUUCAAGUUUUGGGCUAGGGUCACUUAGUAAUGAAGACGAUUUGUGCUGGUUCUCAUCUUCACAUGCUGCUGAAGUAUCCGAAGAUGCAUUGAAAUCUGACAAGUUUAUAGGUCAUGAGGCAAGUGUGUUCAAAAGUAUUUCAGAAUGUGAUGAAACGUCCAGUCCAAAACGUGCAUGUCUUCCAAUCAAUUAUCCCAACAAGAAAAGUGUUUCUAUACGUGGUGAAAUGAAUUCUUAUACUUCACAUAUUGAUGACCCUGCUUCCCUUGGUCAGUUAUCAUUUGUGAAUGGGUCUGAUAUGAAAACUGAGCACUGGGAGGACUUAAUGCCUAAAGAACAGAUGAAUAUGCAUAGAAAGAAGUCCAAGAACCAGAGCCAAAUGGAAAGAAAAAGGAAAGAUCGAUAUCUGGAAAAUGGUGGCUCUUUUCACUAUUAUGGUAAACAUGCGGAUCUGGGUCAUCACUAUGGAGACUCAUUGUGUGAAGUUUUUUCUUCCCCAGGAAAUCAUCAACAUAAACAAGAUGUAGGACCUGAUACUUUGUGUUAUAUUCGAACACAGAUACCCUGUAUGCACCUGGAAUGUAGUCAUCCUUCAGAUACAGUUUCAGUUUUUCCAGCUCCAUUAGGUAACAAAUCUGAAAACAGUGGCCAUGCAUAUUCUCCUAAGGAGUCUUCCUAUGCAUCAAAUCCAGUCCAGUCCAUGGAGAGCUCUCAUUGCCCUUCAUUUGAGGUUCCAGCAAAAACAGUCAACGAAAAGAGAGACCAGCUAUGCCAGGAUUUACAAACUCCUACGGCUGGGAAGUUUAAAAAUGUCAAAAUGUCUGCUCCGAUGGAAUCUUGUCAUCCUGUUUCAGCUCAUAAGCAAGUUCAGCACUCUGAAAAUGAGGUUGAAGUUCAUAGUGAAAUCGAAGGAGUUAGUGUAGGAAUUCCAACAGACUUGGAUUCUUCAAAUGUACAGGAGAGCUCUUGCAUGAGCUCUGUGGUGGAUGAAAUCUCACUAGAAGCAACUAAUUUUCGCCAGCUUCAACAAGUGAUGGAAAAGUUGGAUAUCAGGACUAAACUGUGUAUAAGGGAUAGUCUGUACCGCUUGGCUAGGAGUGCUGAACAAAGGCAUAAUUGUGCAAAUUUGAUUAGUGGCAAUGGAGAUGGCAGAGAUGCAAGUAGAGCAGUGAUGUUUCAAGAAACUAACAAGUGCACUGGAUUAGUGGAUAUGGAAACCGGUACCAAUCCCAUAGAUCGCUCUAUAGCACACCUACUGUUUCACAGGCCCUCGGAUGCAUCCCUAAUGCCUACUAACAAUGCUGUCUCUCUUAGGUCUCAAGGCUCGAUUCAUGGGUCUGAUAAUAGUCCACCUGUGAUGGCUGAAACACAAGUUUUCCAGGAAGAUAGCGUUGCCAGUGCACAUAAAAAAUGCUGAUGACGGACAGCAAAUAAGGAAAAAAAAAAUGACCCCUUCUUCUUGGGCUCAUUGCUACCAUCAUCGGGUGGGCGAUCGCCACAAACUGGGCAGACCAUUCCUCUUGCAUUUGAAGUGCAUGCAUGGACAUCUUUGGUCUUCAAAGAUGAGCACCUGCAUGCAACACAAGGAUUUCUUUGAUCCUUAAGAGAGGAAAAUUAUGAACUGACACGAAGUGGGAGCUUAAGACAUCAGGAGAUUCUAUCUUUAGAGUUGUAUCAGUACAGAGACUAAGACCCAGUACAAACAACUGCUCAGUGUUGCCAAAAUAAAAUCUUCUUCGCUACAUAUUU